UCAAGCGAGAAAGGGCGCACGGUGGAUGCCUUGGCGCCGGGUGGCGACGAAGGGCGCAGCGAGCUGCGAAAAGCCUCGGGUAGCCGCAAGCAGGCGUAGAUCCGGGGAUACCCGAAUGGGGGAACCCAUCACAGGUAAUACUGUGAUAUCCUGUACCGAACACAUAGGUAUAGGAGGCGAUACCGGGGGAACUGAAACAUCUAAGUACCCCGAGGAGAAGAAAGAAACCUCGAUUCCCUAAGUAGCGGCGAGCGAACGGGGAGAAGCCCAAACCCUGCAUGAGUAAUAGGCUGCAUCCGUUUCAUGCAGGGGGUUGUGGGGUUAUCAGUGGAUAGGAUGCAGACUAUCCGCCGUCUAAGCCGACAGUUAGUAGAAGGAGUCUGGAACGGCCCACCAUAGAGGGUAACAGUCCCGUAUACGAAAACUGAAGGCAGCGGUAAGAUAGCCCCGAGUACCACGGGGCACGAGGAACCCUGUGGGAAUCCGGGAGGCCCACCUCCCAAGGCUAAAUACAACCCGGCGACCGAUAGCGAACAAGUACCGUGAGGGAAAGGUGAAAAGCACCCCGGUGAGGGGAGUGAAACAGAACCUGAAACCGUGUGUCUACAAGCAGUGGGAGCCCCACACGAGGGCGACCGCGUACUUUUUGUAGAACGGACCGGCGAGUUGCGGUAUCUAGCGAGGUUAAGGUGCAGAGCACCGGAGCCGAAGCGAAAGCGAGUCCUAACAGGGCGUAUAGUUAGGUAUCGCAGACCCGAAACCGGGUGAUCUACCUAUGGCCAGGGUGAAGCGGAAGUAAAGUUUCGUGGAGGCCCGAACCGUGUUGACGUUGAAAAGUCAUGGGAUGAGCUGUGGGUAGGGGUGAAAUGCCAAUCGAACCCGGAGAUAGCUGGUUCUCCCCGAAAUAGCUUUAGGGCUAGCCUCAACAGAAAGAGUGAUGGAGGUAGAGCACUGAAUGGGCUAGGGGCCCGACAAGGUUACCGAACCCUAUCAAACUCCGAAUGCCAUCACUUGUUAGUUGGGAGUCAGACUAUGGGAGAUAAGUUUCAUAGUCGAGAGGGAAACAGCCCAGACCGUCAGCUAAGGUCCCCAAGUAUAGGCUAAGUGGCAAAGGAUGUGGGAUUGCCCAGACAACCAGGAUGUUGGCUUAGAAGCAGCCAUUCAUUUAAAGAGUGCGUAAUAGCUCACUGGUCAAGUGAUCCUGCGCCGAAAAUGUAGCGGGGCUCAAGCCUAUCACCGAAGCUGCGGGUACGAGAGUGCGGUAGGGGAGCGUUGUAUAGCCGUCGAAGUCAGACCGAAAGGGCUGGUGGAGGGUAUACAAGAGCGAAUGCCGGUAUAAGUAGCGAGAGGCAGGUGAGAAACCUGCCCGCCGGAAGCCUAAGGUUUCCUGAGGAAGGUUUGUCCUCUCAGGGUAAGCCGGGGCCUAAGCCGAGGCGUAGAGCGUAGGCGAUGGACAAUCGGUUGAGAAUCCGAUGCCACCUACUAACCGCAACGAGCGAAGGGGUGACACAGGAGGGUAGGUCAAGCGUGUGAUUGGUGGUACACGUCCAAGCCAUUAGGGAGCGGGGGCAGGCAAAACCGUUUCCGCGAUAAUCCUGAGUGGUGAUGGGGAGUGAAAAUUAAAGUAACGAAGUGACCGAUCCCAUACUGUUUAAAAAAGCCUCUAGCCAGGUUAGGGGUGCCCGUACCGCAAACCGACACAGGUAGGCAGGGAGAGAAUCCCGAGGCGACCGGGAGAACCCUCGUUAAGGAACUCGGCAAACUGACCCCGUAACUUCGGGAGAAGGGGUGCCCGAGUAGCGUAUGGUAUAACUAUAUGCGAAAGGGCCGCAGAGAAUAGGCCCAAGCGACUGUUUAGCAAAAACACAGGUCUCUGCCAAGGAGAAAUCCGACGUAUAGGGGCUGACGCCUGCCCGGUGCUGGAAGGUUAAGGGGAAGGCUUAGCGCAAGCGAAGGUCUGAACCGAAGCCCCAGUGAACGGCGGCCGUAACUAUAACGGUCCUAAGGUAGCGAAAUUCCUUGUCGGGUAAGUUCCGACCCGCACGAAAGGCGUAACGACUUGGGCGCUGUCUCGACGAGGGGCCCGGCGAAAUUGUAGUACUCGUGAAGAUGCGAGUUACCCGCGACAAGACGGAAAGACCCCGUGGAGCUUUACUGCAGCCUGACAUUGGAUCUUGGCAUUACAUGUACAGGAUAGGUGGGAGACGGAGAGCCUGGGCCGCCAGGUUCAGGGGAGUCGCCCUUGGGAUACCACUCUUGUAGUGCUGGGGUUCUAACCAUAUGCCGUAAGCCGGUAUUGGGACAUUGUCAGGUGGGCAGUUUGACUGGGGCGGUCGCCUCCCAAAGAGUAACGGAGGCGCCCAAAGGUUACCUCAGUGCGGUCGGGAAUCGCGCGUAGAGUGUAAAGGCAGAAGGUAGCCUAACUGUGAGAGAGACAUCUCGAGCAGAGUCGAAAGACGGGCUUAGUGAUCCGGCGGUAUCGAGUGGAAGAGCCGUCGCUCAACGGAUAAAAGCUACCCCGGGGAUAACAGGCUUAUCUCCCCCAAGAGUCCACAUCGACGGGGAGGUUUGGCACCUCGAUGUCGGCUCGUCGCAUCCUGGGGCUGGAGUAGGUCCCAAGGGUUGGGCUGUUCGCCCAUUAAAGCGGUACGCGAGCUGGGUUCAGAACGUCGUGAGACAGUUCGGUCCCUAUCUGUCGCGGGCGUAGGAAACUUGAGGGGAGCUGCCCUUAGUACGAGAGGACCGGGGUGGACGGACCGCUGGUGUACCAGUUGUCCCGCCAGGGGCACAGCUGGGUAGCCAUGUCCGGCAGGGAUAAGCGCUGAAGGCAUCUAAGCGCGAAGCCCCCCCCAAGAUUAGGUUUCCCACUCCUUAGGAGGUAAGACCCCAGGUAGAUUACCUGGUCGAUAGGUCGGAGGUGUAAGUGCAGCAAUGCAUUCAGCUGACCGAUACUAAUAGGUCGAGGGCUUGACCU
This 2974-nucleotide ribosomal RNA is filed under the name Koleobacter methoxysyntrophicus. Its description in RNAcentral is "23S ribosomal RNA". It matches the Rfam family "Bacterial large subunit ribosomal RNA". The record is from RNAcentral. Lineage: Bacteria; Bacillati; Bacillota; Clostridia; Koleobacterales; Koleobacteraceae.